CCUACGGGUGGCAGCAGUGGGGAAUAUUGCACAAUGGGGGAAACCCUGAUGCAGCGACGCCGCGUGAGCGAUGAAGUAUUUCGGUAUGUAAAGCUCUAUCAGCAGGGAAGAAAAUGACGGUACCUGACUAAGAAGCCCCGGCUAACUACGUGCCAGCAGCCGCGGUAAUACGUAGGGGGCAAGCGUUAUCCGGAUUUACUGGGUGUAAAGGGAGCGUAGGUGGUCCUGCAAGCCAGAUGUGAAAGCCCGGGGCUCAACCCCGGGACUGCAUUUGAAACUGUCAGGCUGGAGUGUCGGAGAGGCAAGCGGAAUUCCUAGUGUAGCGGUGAAAUGCGUAGAUAUUAGGAGGAACACCAGUGGCGAAGGCGGCCUGCUGGACGAUGACUGACGUUGAGGCUCGAAAGCGUGGGGAGCAAACAGGAUUAGAUACCCCAGUAGUC
This 440-nucleotide ribosomal RNA is filed under the name uncultured bacterium. Its description in RNAcentral is "partial 16S ribosomal RNA". It matches the Rfam family "Bacterial small subunit ribosomal RNA", at positions 338 to 795 of the family's 1533-position model. The record is from RNAcentral.